This 366-nucleotide unclassified non-coding RNA is filed under the name uncultured fungus. RNAcentral's name for it is "partial contains small subunit ribosomal RNA, internal transcribed spacer 1, and 5.8S ribosomal RNA". The stretch from base 1 to 131 matches the Rfam family "Eukaryotic small subunit ribosomal RNA", at positions 1759 to 1831 of the family's 1831-position model. Lineage: Eukaryota; Fungi. The record is from RNAcentral.
GCAAACUUGGUCAUUUAGAGGAAGUAAAAGUCGUAACAAGGUUUCCGUAGGUAAGUUAUAUCAAAGUAUCCUCGGCUGUUUAAGUGGCCAUUGCUAACUGGAAUUUAGGUGAACCUGCGGAAGGAUCAUUACCGAGUUAGGGUCUUUUUGGCCCAACCUCCAACCCUUUGUCUACCCUACCACUGUUGCUUUGGCGAGCCUGUUUCUAGUAAAAUAGGGGCUGCCGGAGGUAUAAUACCCUCUGGAUCGUGCUCGUCAGAAGCCUUUUAUUAAACUCUUUGCUUAAAUAUGGAGUCUAAGUGAUACCUAAAAGCUAAAACUUUCAACAACGGAUCUCUUGGUUCUGGCAUCGAUGAAGAACGCAGC